GCCGUCCAGGAGGGGAGGGGCGCGCGAGGGUUGCCGUCGUCCCUUUGCUUCGCCAUCGCCCUCUGCUCUGCCGGACCUACCGCCCGUAGCCAUAUUGCCAGGAUGGAGGGGGCGUGAGGACCGCCGCCGGCCCCGCUCCUCCACUCGGUGGAAGAUGUUGCCUCCGCGGAGGGGCGGGGCCGGCGAUGGUCCUCGCGCCUUCUCCUUCCUCGCACGAUGGCUGCAGGCAGCAGGUUCAACAAGGUAGAGGGCAACGUUAAAGCAAAGGGCCGGCGGCGGCUCUCACACCCCGUCCCCUCGUGGACGAUGGGCGGUAAAGGGCGACG
RNAcentral lists this long non-coding RNA (326 nucleotides) under Musa acuminata (dwarf banana). RNAcentral's name for it is "long non-coding RNA (MACU_LNC001764)". The record is from RNAcentral. Lineage: Eukaryota; Viridiplantae; Streptophyta; Magnoliopsida; Zingiberales; Musaceae.